This 945-nucleotide long non-coding RNA is filed under the name Homo sapiens (human). RNAcentral describes it as "HSALNT0392477". The record is from RNAcentral. Lineage: Eukaryota; Metazoa; Chordata; Mammalia; Primates; Hominidae.
AAGAUGGCGGCUGGAGACUAGCGCUGGAGAGGGGGAGCCUUCCAUAUCCGGCCACUUCUCUCCACAGCCGCCAUUUUGGCAGAAGCCUAAGCCUUGCUCAUCCCUUACUUAGGCUACAUUUUCAAAAGUCAGAAAAAACUUUUUCCUGAAGAAGGGGUUUCUGAGACAAGACCCCUAUUUGUGACCAAUUGUAAGAUCAUCUGAAGAUCGAGUCCGAUUGCCUGGCCAGGCCGGGCUGGGUGGUAUGUGCCCCCGUCACGCCGGAGGUUCCUGCUUUAGCGACGCCAAAGAUUGGGUGUGAGGGCAGCCCGCGGUGACAGAGACACGGAUCGGACCGAGAGAAAAAGGCUGUGGGCUUCACUGAGCAGAGUGACGAAGUAUUCAGGCCCUCAGGAGCGGUAACUAAAAUGGAGAAGCUGCGCUGAAAGGUGCCGUGGGCAAGUCAAAAUUAAAAUCAAUUCACAGGACCUCCACAGUGUGCCUUUUGCUGGGUAGGAAAAUGCCAGCCAGCUUGGAAAACAAGAAGACACAUUUAUGUCUACCAUGAGCAUUGGCAUCAGCCAAUUAUCCCACACGUUUUCGGCUAGUCAGUGCUGAAGAGAGCAAGAAUUUCAACCCUUCUUGCUACAUUCAAGACAUAGAAAUCCAGCCAGAAGACAACUCGAGAUAUUUUGUGGAUCUAUGCCUUUCCUUCAGAAAAGCAAAUAUCUACCAUAAAAAAACACUGGUCCAAUAUUCACUUCUAUAAGAAAUGCAGGGGCAAAUAAAUUAUGGAUUUUAUUAUCGCUAAUAGAGUCACUUAACCAUUACUCCUUACUACAUUCUGCUUUUCUAACAAAAUUUCGACUGAAUAUUCUCCCUCAGAGCCUCCAAAAGGAACCAACUGAUGACAACUGAUUUUGGACUUCUGGCCUCCUGAACUAUAACAAAAUAAACAUCUGUUGU